UACGUAGGGAGCAAGCGUUGUCCGGAUUUACUGGGUGUAAAGGGUGCGUAGGCGGCCCUGCAAGUCAGAAGUGAAAUCCAUGGGCUUAACCCGUGAACUGCUUUUGAAACUGUUAAGCUGGAGUACUGGAGAGGCAAGCGGAAUUCCUAGUGUAGCGGUGAAAUGCGUAGAUAUUAGGAGGAACACCAGUGGCGAAGGCGGCCUGCUGGACCGCGACUGACGUUGAGGCUCGAAAGCGUGGGGAGCGAACAGG
RNAcentral lists this ribosomal RNA (253 nucleotides) under uncultured bacterium. RNAcentral describes it as "partial 16S ribosomal RNA". It matches the Rfam family "Bacterial small subunit ribosomal RNA", at positions 524 to 776 of the family's 1533-position model. The record is from RNAcentral.